This is a non-coding RNA of Trichococcus sp., 127 nucleotides long. The record is from Rfam. Lineage: Bacteria; Bacillati; Bacillota; Bacilli; Lactobacillales; Carnobacteriaceae.
UUAGGUUAAUAUAUGCUACCGAAGACAGCAGGGGGCGCGAGCCUUAAUCGUCCUGCCGAGGAAGAAUCCAAUGAGAUAUUUAUGGAUCCUCUAUGUCUAGGUGACAUAGAGUUUUUUGUUUUCGACA